This 277-nucleotide ribosomal RNA is filed under the name uncultured Lachnospiraceae bacterium. RNAcentral's name for it is "partial 16S ribosomal RNA". It matches the Rfam family "Bacterial small subunit ribosomal RNA", at positions 70 to 339 of the family's 1533-position model. The record is from RNAcentral. Lineage: Bacteria; Bacillati; Bacillota; Clostridia; Lachnospirales; Lachnospiraceae.
AAAGAUUCUUCGGAUGAUUUCCUAUUUGACUGAGCGGCGGACGGGUGAGUAACGCGUGGGUAACCCGCCUCAUACAGGGGGAUAACAGUUAGAAAUGACUGCUAAUACCGCAUAAGCGCACGAGAGGACAUCCUUUUGUGUGAAAAACUCCGGUGGUACAGAAUGGGCCCGCGUCUGAUUAGCUGGUUGGCAGGGUAACGGCCUACCAAGGCGACGAUCAGUAGCCGGUCUGAGAGGAUGAACGGCCACAUUGGAACUGAGACACGGUCCAAACUCC